RNAcentral lists this long non-coding RNA (226 nucleotides) under Mytilus galloprovincialis (Mediterranean mussel). The record is from RNAcentral. Lineage: Eukaryota; Metazoa; Mollusca; Bivalvia; Mytilida; Mytilidae.
GUCUUGUCGUUUCUUUAAGUUAAUAAACAGUUUUUUGUGUUGUGACUAAAGGUGUAUCUUUCUAUGGAUAUUUGAAGUAUUCUUUUUCGUAAUUUUGAUGUUUCUUGUUGACUAUUGCUUCAGUACCCUUAUAAUCCUACUUACAUGAUUUAGUCAGUUCAAUUUAAAAGAACAUAAUGGGAAAAGGUAUGAUUGCCUUUAUGAGCAACGUUCCACUGAGGAUAAC